Long non-coding RNA from Acipenser ruthenus (sterlet), 654 nucleotides. RefSeq lists it as uncharacterized. The transcript has 3 exons. Lineage: Eukaryota; Metazoa; Chordata; Actinopteri; Acipenseriformes; Acipenseridae. The record is from RefSeq and is a predicted model, not a curated record.
UGCUUUGUUACAAGCUGAAGGCCUCAUGACUGUGUGUAGCGCUAGACUGAGCAUCCAAAAGAACCUGGCUUCUAGUAGAUGGAGAUACCGCAUGACUGCGUGUCAAGUCUGGGGUGAAGGAAGAACUGGCCUACCGACAGACGGAGGCGCUAGACUGACCAACGGACAUGACCUCAACAAGAUGGUGCAUACAGAGGAUUAAACGUGCAGAAGACACCUGAACCAAGAGGGUUCGGUGCAUGGACAAGGAACAAAACCAAACCUGAACAGGCAAGGGAAAGAAGGCCAAAGACUGAGUGGCAGUAUUGUAAUGACCUGUGCUUCACUGUGUCACUGUAUCCACCACUGUACUGUAAAUACUGUACGUGUGCACUGAACUACUGGAUUGUGUGCUUCUUGUUACACUCCCCACACCCCAUCACAGAGCAUACCAUAUUAAUGUUUAAAAUGGGCAGAGUUAAUUAAAGACUGAUGGUUACUCUUUGAAAAUUAUGCAACAGCAUGUGUUUGAAUCGGUUCAUUCACAUGAAACACUGUACAGAAUAUCUGAGGAAUUCCCUUUUAUCUAGUCCAAAAACCUGUUUAUAGCUUUGCGGAAUUGACAGACCGUGCUUAUUAGGGUGUAUUCAGGACCAAUUUUUUUUUUUUUUUUUU